This 363-nucleotide long non-coding RNA is filed under the name Nicotiana benthamiana. RNAcentral's name for it is "long non-coding RNA (NBEN_LNC010605)". The record is from RNAcentral. Lineage: Eukaryota; Viridiplantae; Streptophyta; Magnoliopsida; Solanales; Solanaceae.
AAAGUAAGAGAUCACAAAGGCUUGGUGUCUCGUUGGGCUGUCCUACAGGAAACACGGGUAGAGUAUUUCAGGGGAAAAGAUUUCGUCGCUUUUGUGAAAAAUCAUUCAGAACUUAAAGACAUACUAGAGUCAGAUAGAGAUUUGGAGCCUGAAGAUAUUGCCGACUCACUGCUUAGCAAGAAUCUUCUAGUCCGCUGUGAUCGUGUGGUAAAAACUGUUCGGCCUGGGUGGAGCCUGAAGAUAUUGCCAACUCACUGCUUAGCAAGAAUCUUCUAGUCCGCUGUGAUCGUGUGGUAAAAACUGUUCGGCCUGGGAAGAAAAAGUUAUCUUCUUGGCCAGCGCAUUUGGAGAUAUACCGUGUGA